AGAGUUUGAUCAUGGCUCAGAUUGAACGCUGGCGGCAGGCCUAACACAUGCAAGUCGAACGGUAACAGGAAACAGCUUGCUGUUUCGCUGACGAGUGGCGGACGGGUGAGUAAUGUCUGGGAAACUGCCUGAUGGAGGGGGAUAACUACUGGAAACGGUAGCUAAUACCGCAUAACGUCGCAAGACCAAAGAGGGGGACCCUCGGGCCUCUUGCCAUCGGAUGUGCCCAGAUGGGAUUAGCUUGUUGGUGGGGUAACGGCUCACCAAGGCGACGAUCCCUAGCUGGUCUGGGAGGAUGACCAGCCACACUGGAACUGAGACACGGUCCAGACUCCUACGGGAGGCAGCAGUGGGGAAUAUUGCACAAUGGGCGCAAGCCUGAUGCAGCCAUGCCGCGUGUAUGAAGAAGGCCUUCGGGUUGUAAAGUACUUUCAGCGGGGAGGAAGGGAGUAAAGUUAAUACCUUUGCUCAUUGACGUUACCCGCAGAAGAAGCACCGGCUAACUCCGUGCCAGCAGCCGCGGUAAUACGGAGGGUGCAAGCGUUAAUCGGAAUUACUGGGCGUAAAGCGCACGCAGGCGGUUUGUUAAGUCAGAUGUGAAAUCCCCGGGCUCAACCUGGGAACUGCAUCUGAUACAGGCAAGCUUGAGUCUCGUAGAGGGGGGUAGAAUUCCAGGUGUAGCGGUGAAAUGCGUAGAGAUCUGGAGGAAUACCGGUGGCGAAGGCGGCCCCCUGGACGAAGACUGACGCUCAGGUGCGAAAGCGUGGGGAGCAAACAGGAUUAGAUACCCUGGUAGUCCACGCCGUAAACGAUGUCGACUUGGAGGUUGUGCCCUUGAGGCGUGGCUUCCGGAGCUAACGCGUUAGUCGACCGCCUGGGGAGUACGGCCGCAAGGUUAAAACUCAAAUGAAUUGACGGGGGCCCGCACAAGCGGUGGAGCAUGUGGUUUAAUUCGAUGCAACGCGAAGAACCUUACCUGGUCUUGACAUCCACGGAAGUUUUCAGAGAUGAGAAUGUGCCUUCGGGAACCGCGAGACAGGUGCUGCAUGGCUGUCGUCAGCUCGUGUUGUGAAAUGUUGGGUUAAGUCCCGCAACGAGCGCAACCCUUAUCCUUUGUUGCCAGCGGUCCGGCCGGGAACUCAAAGGAGACUGCCAGUGAUAAACUGGAGGAAGGUGGGGAUGACGUCAAGUCAUCAUGGCCCUUACGACCAGGGCUACACACGUGCUACAAUGGCGCAUACAAAGAGAAGCGACCUCGCGAGAGCAAGCGGACCUCAUAAAGUGCGUCGUAGUCCGGAUUGGAGUCUGCAACUCGACUCCAUGAAGUCGGAAUCGCUAGUAAUCGUGGAUCAGAAUGCCACGGUGAAUACGCUCCCGGGCCUUGUACACACCGCCCGUCACACCAUGGGAGUGGGUUGCAAAAGAAGUAGGUAGCUUAACCUUCGGGAGGGCGCUUACCACUUUGUGAUUCAUGACUGGGGUGAAGUCGAAACAAGGUA
RNAcentral lists this ribosomal RNA (1499 nucleotides) under metagenome. RNAcentral describes it as "bacterial SSU rRNA". It matches the Rfam family "Bacterial small subunit ribosomal RNA". The record is from RNAcentral.